CCUACGGGUGGCAGCAGUGGGGAAUAUUGCACAAUGGGGGAAACCCUGAUGCAGCGACGCCGCGUGAGUGAAGAAGUAAUUCGUUAUGUAAAGCUCUAUCAGCAGGGAAGAAAAUGACGGUACCUGAGUAAGAAGCCCCGGCUAACUACGUGCCAGCAGCCGCGGUACUACGUAGGGGGCAAGCGUUAUCCGGAUUUACUGGGUGUAAAGGGAGCGUAGACGGCAGUGCAAGUCUGGAGUGAAAGGCUGGGGCUCAACCCUGCGCCUUCAUUUGAAACUGUGUUUCUUGAGUGCUGGAGAGGCAAUCGGGAUUCCGGGUGUAGCGGUGAAAUGCGUAGAUAUACGGAGGAACACCAGUGGCGAAGGCGGAUUGCUGGACAGUAACUGACGCUGAGGCGCGAAAGCGUGGGGAGCAAACAGGAUUAGAUACCCUUGUAGUC
RNAcentral lists this ribosomal RNA (440 nucleotides) under uncultured bacterium. RNAcentral's name for it is "partial 16S ribosomal RNA". It matches the Rfam family "Bacterial small subunit ribosomal RNA", at positions 338 to 795 of the family's 1533-position model. The record is from RNAcentral.